GAUGAACGCUGGCGGCGUGCCUAAUACAUGCAAGUCGAGCGAACAGACGAGGAGCUUGCUCCUCUGACGUUAGCGGCGGACGGGUGAGUAACACGUGGAUAACCUACCUAUAAGACUGGGAUAACUUCGGGAAACCGGAGCUAAUACCGGAUAAUAUAUUGAACAGCAUGGUUCAAUAGUGAAAGACGGUUUUGCUGUCACUUAUAGAUGGAUCCGCGCCGCAUUAGCUAGUUGGUAAGGUAACGGCUUACCAAGGCAACGAUGCGUAGCCGACCUGAGAGGGUGAUCGGCAACACUGGAACUGAGACACGGUCCAGACUCCUACGGGAGGCAGCAGUAGGGAAUCUUCCGCAAUGGGCGAAAGCCUGACGGAGCAACGCCGCGUGAGUGAUGAAGGUCUUCGGAUCGUAAAACUCUGUUAUUAGGGAAGAACAAAUGUGUAAGUAACUAUGCACGUCUUGACGGUACCUAAUCAGAAAGCCACGGCUAACUACGUG
Molecule: ribosomal RNA, 497 nt
Filed under: uncultured bacterium
Lineage: Bacteria
Description: partial 16S ribosomal RNA
Rfam family: Bacterial small subunit ribosomal RNA
Source: RNAcentral